CCCUUUGUUUAUGUUACCACAUGCUGCUUGUCAUUUUUUGUUACAAUAUUACGUCGCGGCUUAGCAUAGUGCUACCGGCCACAUUGUGACUCGAGUUGCAUCCUCUUGCGCGUGUUAUUUCUGGAAUCUACCCUCGGCCUGAACCGAGCACACGAGGAUCCCGUUUCAUUUAGCCAGCAAGAGCAGAGGACACACACACACACACACACACACACACACACACACACACACACACACACACACACACACACACACACACACACACACACACACACACACACACACACACACACACACACACACACACACACACACACACACACACACACACACACACACACACACACACACACACACCCCGAGGCAGUUUGUUUUUAGGUCUGGGACCUCAUAGAUCAGGAGGAGGAGUGUUGCCGUGUACAGAUGCUGAUGUUCACUUCCCCUGACAUCGUCUCUGCCCGUCUGUCGCCGCCCGCCCGCUCCCCCGUCUGUUGUCCUGCGCUUUGAUCCGGACCACGUACGGAAAUAGACGGGAGGGCGGGACGGAGGAGCCACUUGGAGCUGUCAAUCAUCGCCUUACUGCCACUGACGCAGCUUUUACAGGCCCUUUCCCUUUUCUGCCUUGUAGCCGAAAUGUAGCCGAGGUGAAAAGUUGUGAAGUUUCUUCGGUGCGCUCGCAGAAAUCUGCCAACGUGAAACCAAAACUAACCAGACGGAAUUUAGUGAGGCAGAUAAUGUCCAACCGGCGGAUAAAUAAGAUGAACGGAGCGGUUGUCUCUCCGUGAUGUUUUGAUAUCGACGGGAACUUAAGAGACACGCGCCGAUUCGGAGCACGGGAAUCCAAAAAUCAGGUAUGGCGAAAGGCAGCACUGACUGUUCAUCUGUCUAUUAAUAAGACCUGAUCAAAACUGUCUGCUCGCCAUUUUAGGUUUGGAGGGAUGAUACUGCUCAUCAGGUUGAGUUGCUUCUGUCCAUUUUAGGUCUAUAUGCAGAGCUGCGUUUGAGGAAGCUGCGGAAAACCACUUGUCACCUCCUCCUUCGACUGUUUUACAGUUAUUCUGAAAUGACAUGUUGUGUUUGAGAUGCUCCUCGAAGGUACGAGUGUCACGUGGUGCGCUAAGUAGAUGCUUUUCAGCAAUUGAAGUCACGGUCCGUUCACUCGCCGUCACAUUAUAUUAUAAUUACCGGCGAGGAAUGUGGGAAAUACACAGCAAUUUAGUCAAUGUGCUGUGUAUUAAUGUGGACGAGGGACGGAGACCAGGCACUUCACCGGCAAAACACUUAUACAAUAAUAAUAAUAAAUAAUAAUAACAAUAAUAUAAAAAAAAUCAUUGAAAAAGAAGACUUGUAUCUUAGCUGUCACACUGUCCAGUGCUUGAAAGGUCACAGGUUUAAUUCUCCCAAGAGACCGUGUGUGUGUGUGUGUGUGUGUGUGUGUGUGUGUGUGUGUGUGUGUGUGUGUGUGUGUGUGUGUGUGUGUGUGUGUGUGUGUGUGUGUGUGUGUGUGUGUGUGUGUGUGUGUGUGUGUGUGUGUGUGUGUGUGUGUGUGUGUGUGUGUGUGUGUGUGUGUGUGUGUGAGAGAGUCAACAAGCAUGUGUCCUGUCCACCACGUGUCCUUGAACAAAAGACACUAAUCCAUAUACCUGCUGGUUGGUUGUAAAUCACUCCUCAGCUACAGUAAAUGCCUUUAAAUAUAAAUGCGGUGAGGAAUGGGAACAAUGCCGAGCCUCGUCUUUUUAGGGGAACCAUGAAGGACAAAUGGGAACACAACACUUCGAGGCAGGACGUCGUUUUGAAAGACUGGAAAACUGCUAAGAUGUGACUUGAGGUUGAUGAAAGUCAUUUGAGAGGCAUUUAAGAUCAGAAUUAUGAUUGUUACGCGAGUGUGUGUUGUAGCCGUUCCUUUUUUGGGUUGCUAGGCCAUAUGGUCGGGAACCUGUGUCCUGUUUCUGAGCAUGGCCACUGAACACACUGUUACUGUACCUGGAGGGAUCAGUACUUAAUCCACAGAGAUCUUCAAAUUAAUAACAUGCGCGAUGCUAUUCAUAUGAUGCAUACAGUCUUAAAGUCGUUAAAACGAUCACAUUCAUAAAAGGACUGUCCCUUUUUGAUCGCCUUAAAAAAAGCAUAUCAUGAGCUGUGCAUGUUAUUAUCAAUCAAAAAUCUUUGGUCCCAGGGAGCAGGGCUACACACACACACACACACACACACACACACACACACACACACACACACACACACAGACUUACCAGUAAAUACACUGAGAAUCAAUGCCAGCAAAAUCUCGAUCUUGGAAAGAUUCAUAUCUCCACCACCAGAACCCUUUUUGUCGUUGAAGCCGCCUUGAAAAUCUACAGCAUCAGUACAAUAAUGCGGUCGCGUUAAUGACACGAGGACCUAUCACCAGUUCUUCACGCAGCUGAGUCACUCUGGAGUCUGAGCGAGUCGAGGAGUGGGACGGUGGGAUCGGCCAGUAUGUGAACUGUGAGCUCUGGUUUCUCAUGGCGAGCUCCGUCCCCGCCUCCCCCCACCCAGCAGCAUCCGAACCUCUCAACACACGUCCAGGCACGACAGACAGCUGUGCGUUGAUUCGAUGAUCCCCCUUCAGCAUAGCGAGGGAAACUGAAGCCACAACACUCCUGCUUUCGGACGGGUUGUGUGAAGGGGGCUAGUGUCGUCGUUUGUCUUCACGUGGGAGUUUUCUUUUUGUCUUUCUUGAGUGAGUUACUUCGGCAUGUAGAGACUGGUGUCACCGAGUCAGACAAGCAGGAGGCGGUGAGAGACACGGAGGGACCGUGCAGAGGAACGACAGAACAAAUGGACGAACGGAGACAGACAGAGGGGAGGACAGCUGAGAGCUGUCACUGAGGGAAUGACAAACGCACGCACGCACGCACGCACGCACGCACGCACGCACGC
Scophthalmus maximus (turbot) is the source of this 2919-nucleotide long non-coding RNA. RefSeq lists it as uncharacterized. The record is from RefSeq and is a predicted model, not a curated record. The transcript is spliced from 3 exons. Lineage: Eukaryota; Metazoa; Chordata; Actinopteri; Pleuronectiformes; Scophthalmidae.